CCUACGGGAGGCAGCAGUGGGGGAUAUUGCACAAUGGGGGAAACCCUGAUGCAGCGACGCCGCGUGUGGGAAGACGGUCCUCUGGAUUGUAAACCACUGUCCCCAGGGACGAAGAUGACGGUACCUGGGGAGGAAGCUCCGGCUAACUACGUGCCAGCAGCCGCGGUAAUACGGAGGGUGCAAGCGUUGUCCGGAAUUACUGGGUGUAAAGGGAGCGUAGGCGGGAUGGCAAGUUGGGUGUUAAAUCUACCGGCUCAACUGGUAGUCGCACUUAAAACUGCUAUUCUUGAGUGAAGUAGAGGCAGGCGGAAUUCCGAGUGUAGCGGGGAAAUGCGUAGAUAUUAGGAGGAACACCAGUGGCGAAGGCGGCCUGCUGGGCUUUUACUGACGCUGAGGCUCGAAAGUGUGGGGAGCAAACAGGAUUAGAUACCCUGUAGUC
RNAcentral lists this ribosomal RNA (439 nucleotides) under uncultured bacterium. RNAcentral describes it as "partial 16S ribosomal RNA". It matches the Rfam family "Bacterial small subunit ribosomal RNA", at positions 338 to 795 of the family's 1533-position model. The record is from RNAcentral.